GGGGGAAAAGAUGUGGAUGGAGCUAGGGAAAGCAACUAGAGGGAAUAUUUUAAGGGAGAAAAGUGUUUUUAUUUUGAUAUAUGUUUAAUAUAUAAAAUUUCAGGAGCUAAAGAGAGGUUAUUGAGGGCCAGAGAAUAAGGGAUGACACGAAAGAAGGUUUUAGAGAAUGUUGGAAUGGGUGCUGAGGGUUGAAGAGGAC
This 199-nucleotide long non-coding RNA is filed under the name Lupinus angustifolius (narrow-leaved blue lupine). RNAcentral describes it as "long non-coding RNA (LANG_LNC000311)". The record is from RNAcentral. Lineage: Eukaryota; Viridiplantae; Streptophyta; Magnoliopsida; Fabales; Fabaceae.